This 497-nucleotide ribosomal RNA is filed under the name uncultured bacterium. RNAcentral's name for it is "partial 16S ribosomal RNA". It matches the Rfam family "Bacterial small subunit ribosomal RNA", at positions 28 to 507 of the family's 1533-position model. The record is from RNAcentral.
GAUGAACGCUGGCGGCGUGCCUAAUACAUGCAAGUCGAGCGAACAGACGAGGAGCUUGCUCCUCUGACGUUAGCGGCGGACGGGUGAGUAACACGUGGAUAACCUACCUAUAAGACUGAGAUAACUUUGGGAAACCGGAGCUAAUACCGGAUAAUAUAUUGAACCGCAUGGUUCAAUAGUGAAAGACGGUUUUGCUGUCACUUAUAGAUGGAUCCGCGCCGCAUUAGCUAGUUGGUAAGGUAACGGCUUACCAAGGCGACGAUGCGUAGCCGACCUGAGAGGGUGAUCGGCCACACUGGAGCUGAGACACGGUCCAGACUCCUACGGGAGGCAGCAGUAGGGAAUCUUCCGCAAUGGGCGAAAGCCUGACGGAGCAACGCCGCGUGAGUGAUGAAGGUCUUCGGAUCGUAAAACUCUGUUAUUAGGGAAGAACAAAUGUGUAAGUAACUAUGCACGUCUUGACGGUACCUAAUCAGAAAGCCACGGCUAACUACGUG